UUGUAUUAAACCAUAGAGGAUAAAAAUGCUAGAGAUAAAAUGUUGUGUCAUAAAUAUACCAUUUUAUUUAUCUUCUUGCUGCAAAUGCUUAAUUCUGUUUUUUUAAUGCAUCGCGACUGUGCAACAGUAUUGUUUUUAAAGGGAAUGCCGUACAAUAGCCUAUUGGUGAAUAGAUUUAAACAACAGAACUUAGCAUUAUACUCCCACAAAUGGAUUACAUUCAGAUAAAGAAUGUAUUAUUUGUAGCCUCAAACAAAUGACGCGUCAAUAUCUGCAAGAAACGUUUGGUACAGCUGCAUAUCAUCCUUUGGCUGCAACAGACUUUAAGGAAAUUACAAAACUUCAUAAAGUGCUAACUCAUGCAACAUAUGUGAAAGUCUAAAUGAACCGAACACGUGUCACCAGAGUGGAUCCUUAAAGAAUUGUCAGCUUCGCAUUUUUCCCUAUUGAAAACAGAAGCGAAUAUAGGCCUAUGCGAAUUAUAUAUGCGGUUAGCGGUUUGGCAAAUAUUGAUCACAACAUAAACGAUCGAUGCAAAGUACCUUCGCCCUUUAAUAGUUUCUGAAUUCAUAUUUCAGAGGAUUUUAUUUUAUUGUCAACACAACUAUUAAAAAGAAAUGCGGUUUUCAUUUAUUUUUAAAUAGUGAGAAGGGGUAAUGGUUGCAAUCAGGGAUAGACAAAUCUCAUCUGAUUAACUGCCUCACUUUAUUCAAAUUGCUUCUAUAAAAUUCAGAACAAUUUGCCUGUAAUGAUUAUGGACUGGUUUUAUUUUGGGAGGUGGAAUACAUUGGAUAAAGCAUAAAUUAUCCUCUAAUUAUACACUAGUGUCGCUUCAAUUAUCCUCUUAUCAAAAAUGGUUGUUUAAAUGCAGCGGUUAGUUUCAAUUUUCUCCCCUUCUACAAGAACUUCAUACCUUGCUAUUAUUUUUAUUAGGGUUGUUAUUUACAGAGGGAUUUAAAACUGCACAGAUAGCCAGGACAAUCAUUCCCCAAGACUGACUAAAGCAAAGCAUUGAAACGGCACAACAGAAAAGCGGCAAGUCUUCAUUUUGAAAACGUUUUUUUUUUUUUUAAUCUCAAUUUUAAUAAAAAAUAGGAUUUCAUUUGGAUCUGUUUGGGACACUACCGAAUAAGCUCACUAUAAUGUACUACUAUGGCUGCCGUUUGUCAAAAGCUAUACGCCAACCGAACCAACAUCGUAAGAUGAACGUUUUGAACUGCAGUGUUUCCCGAACAGCAACAUAUAACUCCUGCAGCUCUUGAACGCCUACUUGAGUUCACGACUGGUCUGAGGUGAACGUGAAAUAUUCGGAAGCCACUUCACCUCCUUCAAUCUGGAACGGGGAGUUUUUCGGGCGUGAAAGCCUACCAGUCCGGUCUAAAAGUGAGAAAAAAGGAACUUAUUACUGGAGUUCAAAUCCACCAGGCGUCGAUGACUUCCCAUCCCGAUAGUGAAGGAUGUGCAAGAAAAAAGAUACUUUCUCUUGGACGCAUUGGUUAAAAAAAAAAAAAAAAAAAAAAAAUCAGAUGUAAUUAAAACCUUGUAUGUGUAUUAACCCAAAUGCGCCACCCAGCAAGAGUCUAAUUAUAAAGUUCCGGUUGAAAACAAAAAUGUGUACAAGUCUGUCGAGUUCUCUCUCUUGUAAGACAUCACCGUUCAGCGCGUGAACUUAAAAUACUGCUUAUGUUUUACUGCCUUACACUACAAAAGGCAAAUAUCUCUUUUAAACUGGCACAUGAAUAAUUUUGUUUGAAAUGACAUAUCAGGGGCCCGAUUCAGGUGCGUUUUUUUUUUUUUUUUCUUAGCCUGUCUAUCUAGCGUUGCACACACAUUUGGUCGUAUUACCUGUCGUAUUACACCAACACCAUAACCUAUAAAUACAACAGGAGGACCACAGUCGUUUGCAUCAUUGAAAUUUGUGAAACAUGGUUGCUGUAAUUUAUACCGUGUAUUUAAGACAUAGACAGAGACAGUUACCAACACUAAUAUGUGCGCGGUGUCUUUGACAUGGUUUCUGAUCAAGAAAUGACCGUGAACAGCUUACAGGGAGAAUAUGCAAUACGUCCCUAAUAUUCAAACGGCCCUCUCUUUCUUUUGUGGAAUGUGUGCACCAGGAUGAGGGUGGCUCAGCCUGUUUGUUUCGCAUUACGUCUCCACUUUUUAGUUUGUUUGGAGGGGCUGGUGUCAAGCUGCUAUAACCUGUCCACUUUCUUUUUUUUUUUUUUUUUUUUUUUUAGCUUGAUCCCAUGUUAUGACCCGCUGGCAACAUUUAUCUUAUUUGCAAUUGCAUUCCCUUCCAUCCCUCUAAGAGAACUUUUUCUGUCCGGUUUGUCUCUUAACAUAAUCAUGUUUACUUGCAUCUGUCACCCAGGCCAACCCUGCUUUAUCAAACACAACGUGAAAUCGCGUAGCCUACCCGCAUGACAGCAGGUCCUGACACGGUUAGGUUCCGACCAGGGCAUGUCAGUGUGAAAAGGGUUCUGUCCCGUAUAUAACUAAUGAUUAGGCAAAUGAGAUUUCCAAGACCAUUCAAAAAACACUUCUUUCCUUGUGUUGCGUUGUGUAUUUUCAGACUUGGGAUACAAUUUGCUAGCAUGCCUGUCAUGUUGAAAGACACGCGAUUCGACUGGAAUAUGAUAUUGAUAACUGAUCGAAAUAGCAGGUGGUAACUGGUCGAAAGGCCUAUUUGAUCUUACGUUCUCACAACAAUAUAUAGAAACGAGCUCCAGCUCUACA
Polyodon spathula (Mississippi paddlefish) is the source of this 2736-nucleotide long non-coding RNA. RefSeq lists it as uncharacterized. The record is from RefSeq and is a predicted model, not a curated record. Lineage: Eukaryota; Metazoa; Chordata; Actinopteri; Acipenseriformes; Polyodontidae. The transcript is spliced from 3 exons.